RNAcentral lists this long non-coding RNA (207 nucleotides) under Carica papaya (papaya). RNAcentral describes it as "long non-coding RNA (CPAP_LNC005998)". Lineage: Eukaryota; Viridiplantae; Streptophyta; Magnoliopsida; Brassicales; Caricaceae. The record is from RNAcentral.
AAUAAAAUUAAUUUUUUUAAAAAGACACACAUGAAAGUGCAGCCCCACUUAUACCAACAAUAUCUUAUAGAGAAAAGAACAUCCUAACUAUUCAGUUAAUAGUGGUUAGUCAAGCAUUUGUUACUUGAUCUCUACAAAUAACAUAUUAAUUAAUCAUAAAAGACAAAACAUCCAUAACCAGAGUUACAUUAGUAAGUUUGUAUACAC